This 303-nucleotide ribosomal RNA is filed under the name uncultured bacterium. RNAcentral's name for it is "bacterial SSU rRNA". It matches the Rfam family "Bacterial small subunit ribosomal RNA", at positions 355 to 673 of the family's 1533-position model. The record is from RNAcentral.
UGGGGAAUAUUGGGCAAUGGACGCAAGUCUGACCCAGCAACGCCGCGUGAAGGAAGAAGGCUUUCGGGUUGUAAACUUCUUUUAAGGGGGAAGAGCAGAAGACGGUACCCCUUGAAUAAGCCACGGCUAACUACGUGCCAGCAGCCGCGGUAAUACGUAGGUGGCAAGCGUUGUCCGGAUUUACUGGGUGUAAAGGGCGUGCAGCCGGAGAGACAAGUCAGAUGUGAAAUCCACAGGCUCAACCUGUGAACUGCAUUUGAAACUGUUUCCCUUGAGUAUCGGAGAGGUCAUCGGAAUUCCUAG